Molecule: ribosomal RNA, 253 nt
Filed under: uncultured bacterium
Lineage: Bacteria
Description: partial 16S ribosomal RNA
Rfam family: Bacterial small subunit ribosomal RNA
Source: RNAcentral
UACGGAGGGGGCAAGCGUUAUUCGGAAUUAUUGGGCGUAAAGGGCGCGUAGGCGGCUAGAUGUGUCAAAGGUGAAAUCCCUCGGCUCAACUGAGGAACUGCCUUUGAAACUGUCUGGCUUGAGGCCGGGAGAGGGUAGCGGAAUUCCCAGUGUAGCGGUGAAAUGCGUAGAUAUUGGGAGGAACACCAGUGGCGAAGGCGGCUACCUGGACCGGUUCUGACGCUGAAGCGCGAAAGCGUGGGUAGCAAACAGG